GGCCAGGUGUUCAGUUGGUGAGCAACGGACUGAAAAAUCCGUGUCGUUGGUUCGAUUCCGACCCUGGCCACCA
RNAcentral lists this transfer RNA (73 nucleotides) under bacterium. Its description in RNAcentral is "tRNA-Phe". It matches the Rfam family "tRNA". Rfam says of the family: Transfer RNA (tRNA) molecules are approximately 80 nucleotides in length. Their secondary structure includes four short double-helical elements and three loops (D, anti-codon, and T loops). Further hydrogen bonds mediate the characteristic L-shaped molecular structure. tRNAs have two regions of fundamental functional importance: the anti-codon, which is responsible for specific mRNA codon recognition, and the 3' end, to which the tRNAs corresponding amino acid is attached (by aminoacyl-tRNA synthetases). tRNAs cope with the degeneracy of the genetic code in two manners: having more than one tRNA (with a specific anti-codon) for a particular amino acid; and 'wobble' base-pairing, i.e. permitting non-standard base-pairing at the 3rd anti-codon position. The record is from RNAcentral.